RNAcentral lists this ribosomal RNA (743 nucleotides) under Pthirus pubis (crab louse). RNAcentral describes it as "partial small subunit ribosomal RNA". The stretch from base 604 to 743 matches the Rfam family "Eukaryotic small subunit ribosomal RNA", at positions 743 to 874 of the family's 1831-position model. Lineage: Eukaryota; Metazoa; Arthropoda; Insecta; Psocodea; Pthiridae. The record is from RNAcentral.
GAUUUGUGUUCCGAGCAGUCGGUACGCCGUUCGUCGGCGGUCAACUGACUCGCGGCGGAACGUCCUGCCGGUUGACGGAGCGGGAGGCGACCGCGCCGCGCGCCGUCGGAUCCGCGAGCGUCGUCAGGCGCGGACGUUUGCCCCGGCGUGGCCUUCUCCGCGGAGCGCUUCGCGUCGCCGUCGGGGGUGAGCGUCGCGGCCUCCGGUUUCCCACGCGAUGCCGGACGUCAAAAAGGCAAGCGCGGGCUCGCGCGGAGCUUCGGUUCCGCGCCGAAGCGCCUCUGCCGUCCGGGUCUCGGCCGGAGGCGAACGCUUUCCACUUUGCCAAACCCGCGGUCUCGACGGGAGCGAUCCGCGUCAACACGGGGAAGGCUCAGCGAAAGCGGCGCCGGGAAUGCGCGGCGUCCCGUCCGCGCUCGCUGUGGCGGCGCAUCAACGGGCGGCCGCCUUUGAGGAUCGCGCGGGCGCGCGCGCGCUCGGCGAAUUCGUCCCGUCGGGCGGAUUCGCGGACGCGCCCGCCGCGCGACUCCGCUGCGUCCGUCAGUCUUUUUUAUCUUGAGUAAAAAUCCCGUCGCGGCGCUCUUAGCCGAGUGACGCGCCGGGCCGGCACGUUUACUUUGAACAAAACUGAGUGCUUAAAGCAGGCCGAACCUCAGCGCCUGAAAGUCGGAUGCAUGGAAUAAUGGAAUAGGGCCUCGGUUCUAUUUUGUUGGUUUUCGGAAUUCCCGAGGCAAUGAUUAAUG